Molecule: non-coding RNA, 54 nt
Organism: Danio rerio (zebrafish)
Lineage: Eukaryota; Metazoa; Chordata; Actinopteri; Cypriniformes; Danionidae
Source: Rfam
UUUAUCUUCGCUUGUAAGUCGCUUUGGAUAAAAGCGUCUGCUAAAUGAUUCAAU